UUUCCGUAGGUGAACCUGCGGAAGGAUCAUUAAUGAAUAUUAGGGUGCUCCUCUUCAUCAGAGAGACCCGACCUUCAUUUCCAACACUGUGAACCAAACUAGAGGGAUUUGCCUAACGGCGAUGAACUCUAUUCACUUUAAAACUCUUCAGUUUAAGAAUGUAAACAAACCAAAACAAAAAAAACUUUCAACAACGGAUCUCUUGGCUCUCGCAUCGAUGAAGAACGCAGC
This 231-nucleotide unclassified non-coding RNA is filed under the name uncultured fungus. Its description in RNAcentral is "sequence contains ITS1, 5.8S rRNA gene". The stretch from base 183 to 231 matches the Rfam family "5.8S ribosomal RNA", at positions 1 to 49 of the family's 154-position model. Lineage: Eukaryota; Fungi. The record is from RNAcentral.